RNAcentral lists this ribosomal RNA (329 nucleotides) under uncultured eukaryote. RNAcentral's name for it is "partial 18S ribosomal RNA". It matches the Rfam family "Eukaryotic small subunit ribosomal RNA", at positions 1470 to 1796 of the family's 1831-position model. The record is from RNAcentral.
CCCUUAGAUGUUCUGGGCCGCACGCGCGCUACACUGAUGCAUUCAACGAGUCUAAAACCUGCUCUGAUAGGGGUGGGUAAUCUUUUGAAUGUGCAUCGUGAUUGGGAUAGAUGAUUGCAAUUUUUCAUCUUCAACGAGGAAUGCCUAGUAAACGCAAGUCAUCAGCUUGCAUUGAUUACGUCCCUGCCCCUUGUACACACCGCCCGUCGCUCCUACCGAUUGAAUGAUCCGAUGAAUAUCAUGGAUUGAGGAUGCAAGUAGGUUCGCCUAUCUUCAUCUUCGAGAAGUGAAGUAAAUCUUAUCAUUUAGAGGAAGGAGAAGUCGUAACA